This 892-nucleotide ribosomal RNA is filed under the name uncultured bacterium. Its description in RNAcentral is "bacterial SSU rRNA". It matches the Rfam family "Bacterial small subunit ribosomal RNA", at positions 53 to 929 of the family's 1533-position model. The record is from RNAcentral.
ACAUGCAAGUAGAACGCUGAAGGAGGAGCUUGCUUCUCUGGAUGAGUUGCGAACGGGUGAGUAACGCGUAGGUAACCUGCCUGGUAGCGGGGGAUAACUAUUGGAAACGAUAGCUAAUACCGCAUAAUAGUAGAUGUUGCAUGACAUUUGCUUAAAAGGUGCAAUUGCAUCACUACCAGAUGGACCUGCGUUGUAUUAGCUAGUUGGUGGGGUAACGGCUCACCAAGGCGACGAUACAUAGCCGACCUGAGAGGGUGAUCGGCCACACUGGGACUGAGACACGGCCCAGACUCCGACGGGAGGCAGCAGUAGGGAAUCUUCGGCAAUGGACGGAAGUCUGACCGAGCAACGCCGCGUGAGUGAAGAAGGUUUUCGGAUCGUAAAGCUCUGUUGUAAGAGAAGAACGAGUGUGAGAGUGGAAAGUUCACACUGUGACGGUAUCUUACCAGAAAGGGACGGCUAACUACGUGCCAGCAGCCGCGGUAAUACGUAGGUCCCGAGCGUUGUCCGGAUUUAUUGGGCGUAAAGCGAGCGCAGGCGGUUAGAUAAGUCUGAAGUUAAAGGCUGUGGCUUAACCAUAGUACGCUUUGGAAACUGUUUAACUUGAGUGCAAGAGGGGAGAGUGGAAUUCCAUGUGUAGCGGUGAAAUGCGUAGAUAUAUGGAGGAACACCGGUGGCGAAAGCGGCUCUCUGGCUUGUAACUGACGCUGAGGCUCGAAAGCGUGGGGAGCAAACAGGAUUAGAUACCCUGGUAGUCCACGCCGUAAACGAUGAGUGCUAGGUGUUAGACCCUUUCCGGGGUUUAGUGCCGCAGCUAACGCAUUAAGCACUCCGCCUGGGGAGUACGACCGCAAGGUUGAAACUCAAAGGAAUUGACGGGGGCCCGCACAAG